GCGAGCGUGGCGGAAUUGGUAGACGCCCUACUUUUAGGUGGUAGUGCCUGAAUAGGCGUGGGGGUUCGAGUCCCCCCGCUCGCA
This 84-nucleotide transfer RNA is filed under the name Deltaproteobacteria bacterium. RNAcentral's name for it is "tRNA-Leu". It matches the Rfam family "tRNA". From Rfam's summary of the family: Transfer RNA (tRNA) molecules are approximately 80 nucleotides in length. The record is from RNAcentral. Lineage: Bacteria; Pseudomonadati; Myxococcota; Myxococcia.